This 492-nucleotide ribosomal RNA is filed under the name uncultured bacterium. RNAcentral describes it as "partial 16S ribosomal RNA". It matches the Rfam family "Bacterial small subunit ribosomal RNA", at positions 29 to 507 of the family's 1533-position model. The record is from RNAcentral.
AGUGAACGCUGGCGGUAGGCUUAACACAUGCAAGUCGAACGGCAGCACAGUAAGAGCUUGCUCUUACGGGUGGCGAGUGGCGGACGGGUGAGGAAUACAUCGGAAUCUACUUUUUCGUGGGGGAUAACGUAGGGAAACUUACGCUAAUACCGCAUACGACCUACGGGUGAAAGCAGGGGAUCUUCGGACCUUGCGCGAUUGAAUGAGCCGAUGUCGGAUUAGCUAGUUGGCGGGGUAAAGGCCCACCAAGGCGACGAACCGUAGCUGGUCUGAGAGGAUGAUCAGCCACACUGGAACUGAGACACGGUCCAGACUCCUACGGGAGGCAGCAGUGGGGAAUAUUGGACAAUGGGCGCAAGCCUGAUCCAGCCAUACCGCGUGGGUGAAGAAGGCCUUCGGGUUGUAAAGCCCUUUUGUUGGGAAAGAAAAGCAGCAGGUUAAUACCCCGCUGUUCUGACGGUACCCAAAGAAUAAGCACCGGCUAACUUCGUG